RNAcentral lists this ribosomal RNA (362 nucleotides) under uncultured Anaerolineaceae bacterium. RNAcentral's name for it is "bacterial SSU rRNA". It matches the Rfam family "Bacterial small subunit ribosomal RNA", at positions 1009 to 1382 of the family's 1533-position model. The record is from RNAcentral. Lineage: Bacteria; Bacillati; Chloroflexota; Anaerolineae; Anaerolineales; Anaerolineaceae.
GGACCGACCCUUCGGGGAGCUUGAACAGGUGCUGCAUGGCUGUCGUCAGCGUCGUGUCGUGAGAUGUUCCGGUUAAGUCCGCUAACGAGCGCAACCCUCGCUGUGUGUUACAAGUGUCACACGGAACUGCCGGUCAUAAACCGGAGGAAGGUGGGGAUGACGUCAAGUCAGCAUGGCCUUUAUAUCCUGGGCUACACACACGCUACAAUGGGAAGGGACAAUAGGUUGCGAAGCCGCGAGGCGGAGCCAAUCCAGCAAAACUUCCCUCAGUUCAGAUUGCAGGCUGCAACUCGCCUGCAUGAAGUUGGAGUUGCUAGUAAACGCAGGUCAGCCAUACUGCGUUGAAUACGUUCCCGGGGCUU